UACGUAGGGGGCAAGCGUUGUCCGGAAUCAUUGGGCGUAAAGCGCGUGUAGGCGGCCAGGUAGGUCUGCUGUGAAAACUCGAGGCUCAACCUCGAGAUGUCGGCGGAAACCAUCUGGCUAGAGUCCGGAAGAGGAGAGUGGAAUUCCCGGUGUAGCGGUGAAAUGCGCAGAUAUCGGGAAGAACACCCGUGGCGAAGGCGGCUCUCUGGGACGGUACUGACGCUGAGACGCGAAAGCGUGGGGAGCGAACAGG
This 253-nucleotide ribosomal RNA is filed under the name uncultured bacterium. RNAcentral describes it as "partial 16S ribosomal RNA". It matches the Rfam family "Bacterial small subunit ribosomal RNA", at positions 524 to 776 of the family's 1533-position model. The record is from RNAcentral.